AUUGAACGCUGGCGGCAGGCCUAACACAUGCAAGUCGAGCGGAUGAAGGGAGCUUGCUCCUGGAUUCAGCGGCGGACGGGUGAGUAAUGCCUAGGAAUCUGCCUGGUAGUGGGGGAUAACGUCCGGAAACGGGCGCUAAUACCGCAUACGGCCUGAGGGAGAAAGUGGGGGAUCUUCGGACCUCACGCUAUCAGAUGAGCCUAGGUCGGAUUAGCUAGUUGGUGGGGUAAAGGCCUACCAAGGCGACGAUCCGUAACUGGUCUGAGAGGAUGAUCAGUCACACUGGAACUGAGACACGGUCCAGACUCCUACGGGAGGCAGCAGUGGGGAAUAUUGGACAAUGGGCGAAAGCCUGAUCCAGCCAUGCCGCGUGUGUGAAGAAGGUCUUCGGAUUGUAAAGCACUUUAAGUUGGGAGGAAGGGCAGUAAGUUAAUACCUUGCUGUUUUGACGUUACCAACAGAAUAAGCACCGGCUAACUUCGCG
RNAcentral lists this ribosomal RNA (484 nucleotides) under uncultured bacterium. Its description in RNAcentral is "partial 16S ribosomal RNA". It matches the Rfam family "Bacterial small subunit ribosomal RNA", at positions 30 to 507 of the family's 1533-position model. The record is from RNAcentral.